Molecule: transfer RNA, 83 nt
Filed under: Canis lupus familiaris (dog)
Lineage: Eukaryota; Metazoa; Chordata; Mammalia; Carnivora; Canidae
Also listed under: 1 other name
Rfam family: tRNA
About the family: Transfer RNA (tRNA) molecules are approximately 80 nucleotides in length. Their secondary structure includes four short double-helical elements and three loops (D, anti-codon, and T loops). Further hydrogen bonds mediate the characteristic L-shaped molecular structure. tRNAs have two regions of fundamental functional importance: the anti-codon, which is responsible for specific mRNA codon recognition, and the 3' end, to which the tRNAs corresponding amino acid is attached (by aminoacyl-tRNA synthetases). tRNAs cope with the degeneracy of the genetic code in two manners: having more than one tRNA (with a specific anti-codon) for a particular amino acid; and 'wobble' base-pairing, i.e. permitting non-standard base-pairing at the 3rd anti-codon position.
Source: Rfam by way of RNAcentral
GCCUGGGUGGCUCAGUGGUUGAGCAUCUGUCUUUGGCUCAGGUCAUGAUCCUGGGGUCCUGGGAUUGAGUCCCACAUCAGGCU